CAAAAAGUAGUUUAAGCAAAACAAAAGCUUUGGAAGCUUUAAUUUUACCAGGUAACUUUUUGA
Molecule: transfer RNA, 63 nt
Filed under: Pseudocuneopsis capitata
Lineage: Eukaryota; Metazoa; Mollusca; Bivalvia; Unionida; Unionidae
Description: tRNA-Pro
Rfam family: tRNA
About the family: Transfer RNA (tRNA) molecules are approximately 80 nucleotides in length.
Source: RNAcentral